ACUCCUACGGGAGGCAGCAGUGGGGAAUAUUGCACAAUGGGCGCAAGCCUGAUGCAGCCAUGCCGCGUGUAUGAAGAAGGCCUUCGGGUUGUAAAGUACUUUCAGCGGGGAGGAAGGCGAUAAGGUUAAUAACCUUGUUGAUUGACGUUACCCGCAGAAGAAGCACCGGCUAACUCCGUGCCAGCAGCCGCGCUAAUACGGAGGGUGCAAGCGUUAAUCGGAAUUACUGGGCGUAAAGCGCACGCAGGCGGUCUGUCAAGUCGGAUGUGAAAUCCCCGGGCUCAACCUGGGAACUGCAUUCGAAACUGGCAGGCUAGAGUCUUGUAGAGGGGGGUAGAAUUCCAGGUGUAGCGGUGAAAUGCGUAGAGAUCUGGAGGAAUACCGGUGGCGAAGGCGGCCCCCUGGACAAAGACUGACGCUCAGGUGCGAAAGCGUGGGGAGCAAACAGGAUUAGAUACCCUAGUAGUCCC
This 470-nucleotide ribosomal RNA is filed under the name uncultured organism. RNAcentral's name for it is "partial 16S ribosomal RNA". It matches the Rfam family "Bacterial small subunit ribosomal RNA", at positions 335 to 797 of the family's 1533-position model. The record is from RNAcentral.